This 481-nucleotide ribosomal RNA is filed under the name uncultured bacterium. RNAcentral describes it as "partial 16S ribosomal RNA". It matches the Rfam family "Bacterial small subunit ribosomal RNA", at positions 28 to 507 of the family's 1533-position model. The record is from RNAcentral.
GAUGAACGCUGGCGGCGUGCUUAACACAUGCAAGUCGAACGAAGCAUUUAAGACAGAUUACUUCGGUUUGAAGUCUUUUAUGACUGAGUGGCGGACGGGUGAGUAACGCGUGGGUAACCUGCCUCAUACAGGGGGAUAGCAGCUGGAAACGGCUGGUAAUACCGCAUAAGCGCACAGUACCACAUGGUACAGUGUGAAAAACUCCGGUGGUAUGAGAUGGACCCGCGUCUGAUUAGCUUGUUGGCGGGGUAACGGCCCACCAAGGCGACGAUCAGUAGCCGACCUGAGAGGGUGACCGGCCACAUUGGGACUGGGACACGGCCCAGACUCCUACGGGAGGCAGCAGUGGGGAAUAUUGCACAAUGGAGGAAACUCUGAUGCAGCGACGCCGCGUGAGUGAAGAAGUAGUUCGCUAUGUAAAGCUCUAUCAGCAGGGAAGAUAGUGACGGUACCUGACUAAGAAGCUCCGGCUAAAUACGUG